GAUGAAGAACGUAGCGAAAUGCGAUAAGUAAUGUGAAUUGCAGAAUUCAGUGAAUCAUCGAGUCUUUGAACGCACAUUGCGCCCCCUGGUAUUCCGGGGGGCAUGCCUGUCCGAUCGUCAUUGCUGCCCUCAAGCACGGCUUGUGUGUUGGGCCCCCGUCCCCGGUUUCCCCCGGGGACGGGCCCGAAAGGCAGCGGCGGCACCGCGUCCGGUCCUCGAGCGUAUGGGGCUUUGUCACCCGCUCUGUAGGCCCGGCCGGCGCCAGCCGACACCCAACUUUAUUUCUAAGGUUGACCUCGGAUCAGGUAGGGAUACCCGCUGAACUUAAGCAUAUCAAUAAGCGGAGGA
This 348-nucleotide unclassified non-coding RNA is filed under the name soil metagenome. RNAcentral's name for it is "partial contains 5.8S ribosomal RNA, internal transcribed spacer 2, and large subunit ribosomal RNA". The stretch from base 1 to 120 matches the Rfam family "5.8S ribosomal RNA", at positions 35 to 154 of the family's 154-position model. The record is from RNAcentral.